CCUACGGGGCGCUGCAGUGGGGAAUAUUGCACAAUGGGGGAAACCCUGAUGCAGCGACGCCGCGUGAGUGAAGAAGUAAUUCGUUACGUAAAGCUCUAUCAGCAGGGAAGAAACACUGACCUUACGGUCAGCAGACGGUACCUGAGUAAGAAGCCCCGGCUAACUACGUGCCAGCAGCCGCGGUAAUACGUAGGGGGCAAGCGUUAUCCGGAUUUACUGGGUGUAAAGGGAGCGUAGACGGUGCGGCAAGUCUGGAGUGAAAUGCCGCAGCUUAACUGCGGAACUGCUUUGGAAACUGGCGAACGAGAGGGCGGGAGGGGUAAGCGGAAUUCCUAGUGUAGCGGGGAAAUGCGGAGAUAUUAGGAGGAACACCGGUGGCGAAGGCGGCUUACUGGACCGUAACUGACGUUGAGGCUCGAAAGCGUGGGGAGCAAACAGGAUUAGAUACCCGUGUAGUC
This 458-nucleotide ribosomal RNA is filed under the name uncultured bacterium. RNAcentral's name for it is "partial 16S ribosomal RNA". It matches the Rfam family "Bacterial small subunit ribosomal RNA", at positions 338 to 795 of the family's 1533-position model. The record is from RNAcentral.